CAGCCGCCGCGGGAAUACGAAGGGUGCAAGCGUUACUUGGAAUUACUGGGCGUAAAGCGUGCGUAGGUGGUUGUUUAAGUCUGCUGUGAAAGCCCUGGGCUUAACCUGGGAAUUGCAGUGGAUACUGGGCAACUAGAGUGUGGUAGAGGAUAGUGGAAUUUCCGGUGUAGCAGUGAAAUGCGUAGAGAUCGGAAGGAACAUCUGUGGCGAAGGCGACUAUCUGGGCCAACACUGACACUGAGGCACGAAAGCGUGGGGAGCAAACAGGAUUAGAUACCCCUGUAGUCCCUGUCUCUUAUAC
This 301-nucleotide ribosomal RNA is filed under the name uncultured bacterium. RNAcentral describes it as "partial 16S ribosomal RNA". It matches the Rfam family "Bacterial small subunit ribosomal RNA", at positions 509 to 807 of the family's 1533-position model. The record is from RNAcentral.